Molecule: ribosomal RNA, 254 nt
Filed under: uncultured bacterium
Lineage: Bacteria
Description: partial 16S ribosomal RNA
Rfam family: Bacterial small subunit ribosomal RNA
Source: RNAcentral
UACGAAGGGGGCUAGCGUUGCUCGGAAUCACUGGGCGUAAAGGGUGCGUAGGCGGGUCUUUUAAGUCAGGGGUGAAAUCCUGGAGCUCAACUCCAGAACUGCCUUUGAUACUGAAGAUCUUGAGUUCGGGAGAGGUGAGUGGAACUGCGAGUGUAGAGGUGAAAUUCGUAGAUAUUCGCAAGAACACCAGUGGCGAAGGCGGCUCACUGGCCCGAUACUGACGCUGAUGCACGAAAGCGUGGGGAUCAAACAGG